AAUGCAAAGGGACUAUACUAAGCAUACCAAAUCCGACCCAAACAACUAUGGACAGACCUAAAACAUGGCAAAAUGAGCACAAAACCUUCACAAGGCUAAACCUAAAACAUGCUAGAGCAAAGGCUAACAACCUAAGGCAUAUUAAGGCAAUAACAAGGCAUUACAUGGUAGGUAUGCUAAGUAUGCAUGGUGUACCAAAACCAAAACACAACAAGGUUAUAUCAUGGCAUAAUAAGCAUGGAAAACAGCCAAGAUUUGAUCAAUACACACUCUAACAUGAUGCUCCCUCAAGAGGCCAAAAAUGGUCCAUUUCAAGGACAAUAAGGAGAGGGGGUGGCCCUCUCCUUCUUGGGACCUCAAGGCACCACC
Molecule: small RNA, 369 nt
Filed under: Camellia sinensis
Lineage: Eukaryota; Viridiplantae; Streptophyta; Magnoliopsida; Ericales; Theaceae
Description: transcribed RNA
Source: RNAcentral